Erythranthe guttata (spotted monkey flower) is the source of this 457-nucleotide non-coding RNA. The record is from RefSeq and is a predicted model, not a curated record. NCBI's taxonomy places the organism in Eukaryota, Viridiplantae, Streptophyta, Magnoliopsida, Lamiales, Phrymaceae.
UGGAGUACAGCGUAACUUGAGAAAAGCUACGAAAUAUAGUUUUGUUUACCUUGUUACAUUGUUAAGGAGAGAGCUCUAACUUGUAUUUUUAACUCAUGCAGGUGUCGGGUUGUCUGUAUUUCUGUAAGUUGGUUAUUCCGUAUUACUUGACCACGGCUAUUGGCUUGGUGUUGAUUGUUUCAUUCACUUCAUGCUUCGUGUACGAGCAAUACGAGAAGAAAUUUGACGUGAUAACGAGAGUUGCAUUCACCAUUGCUAGCAAACUGCCGAUACCUUUGAGCUCCGUCUCCCCAAACUCUAAGCCUUCAUUAGAUAGUCGGCAGUGAGUAAUCUUACGUUUUUUGUAACUUGUCGUCCCGUGCAAUACUGUAGCUUCUGUAGAUAUUGUAUUUUAGCUUCUAUAGUUUACAUUGAUAUAUACAUAUAUAUAUACCAAAAUAUUUUUUCUUUUCGCUCG